GAGGUCAGGUGCCCUUUCAGCCGAGGUAAGAACUUGAGGCUGGCUGUUCUACUUCUCUGAUUUUUUCAGCAUUUACUCUGAUAUCUGACUCCGGGUUUUUACUAAUAAGACCAAUUAGAAUCUGUGCUACCGUGAGGCUCCUUGGUUACCUGUACACUAUGAUCUCUCUCUCUUCCAGUGGCCCGGGCUCAUGUCCCAGCAUCCCCAAGUACCAGUGGAACAACUUGGCUGAACUUUUCUCGGUGCAAAAGCUUGUUAGUAGAGUUCAGAAGAUGAACUUCCGAUUUUGCUCCCCAAAUCUCUGGCAUCCUGGAGACAAGUGCAGCUACAGAGAUGACCAGAGAACAUAGGCCAUAGCUUCCCUUUAAACCCUAGAGACAAUGGCUCCUGUGUGCUCACCAGGGCCACACGGGACUGCCAGGAGUCCACUAGGAUCCAGUUGGAAGCCUGCAGAAAGGGGAUUCAGGAGACUGGCCUUCUGCAGAGCGUCCAGCAGGCAGCUCCAGGCAGCCUCUGCCCAAGACAUUCUAGAUGGACCACAGCCCUGAAGCCAGCCUUCUGGCCCAUAGGGACCUGGAGCGAGUCCACCUGUCUAGGCCCUGUACAGGACACGGGACGGGAAGAAGAGGCUGAGGCAAUGCAGGCAUGUAAGCAAGCAUGGUACCUUGCGCUGGCAGAAUGUGGAGCAGUAGUUGACCUUGUGGCAUCCGGUACACUCACUCAUGGCCUCCCGGCCGCAGUUGACACAGGACUGCUGCAAGAAGGACAAACACAUGUCAAUGUCACAGCAGGUGCCAGGCUCCGGGGCAGUAACCCGAGACUAAAGGAACACCAGGCACAGCCUUAUGGAGUGUGUCCUUCCCAGUGCUCUUCGGUUGUCCAGAACUGGCCUCCCCCUUUAUCUGAGUAUGCCCUGAAUCAGGUGCCAGAACGUCAGUGUCCGAACUCCAAGGAGACUCCCUUUCAGCCAUGUGGGUACAGAAAGCCUGGUUGGGGGAGUUCUCAACCCUGGGCACACUUCCUGAGUGCUUGAGGGCCCAGGCUGCAAACAUGCAGCCAUGCCAGCACUGGGCACAUCAGGGUCUCUGAGCGGCCUCGAGUGUAUCAACUAUGGGGUUUGGGUCCUAGUACCCCCGGUGGUGGCCAAGGCUUCCCCCAUACUGCUGUUCAGAGUCAUUUCACUGAAACAGCACUGAUCACCUGACGUUUGGUGUUUUUUUAAGCUACAUUAGGGGAGGACAGUUAAUGAACUGAGGUGCUGAACACAA
Peromyscus eremicus (cactus mouse) is the source of this 1268-nucleotide long non-coding RNA. RefSeq lists it as uncharacterized. The record is from RefSeq and is a predicted model, not a curated record. Lineage: Eukaryota; Metazoa; Chordata; Mammalia; Rodentia; Cricetidae. The transcript is spliced from 2 exons.